GUAGCGAAGUGCAAGUAAAAGUACGUACUAUUUACUUGUACCAGCGGUACAAGUAACGAAAGUAGAAGUACUGCCAUAUAUGCCCAUACUUGGUGAAAAGUUUCUAAUUGCACCAUAAAUUGGUUAAAUAAGAAACUGUUUUAUUUAAGUUGAAACAUAAAUCGGUAAAUAUGAUCGAGAAAUAUAUUCAUGGCGCAAUCGAUUGCACCAAACUUUCGUACUGUGAGAGGCACAAACUUUAACUGUGACCGAUAACUUAUCUUGUAACUGUUGACUAAUGGCGGAUUUUGUUGUCGAAGCCAGCUAUCAUCUCAUGCAAGUUGUCUUUGAAAUUGUCUAUUUCUUUUGCAGGAUUUUUGUGGUUGAAAGGAGGCUUUAAAAAAACACACAGGUACCAACAACUUCAAUGCUUUUAGUCAAGAAAAAGGCUUAGGAAAAAAUAUUGUUAUAGCAAGUGCCAAACCUAUUGAUAAAAGUAUUUAUUCUACCGAAAAUACCAGAAUUCUAGAAGGUUAUAAACAGUUUUUCGAAACUUCAUAAGUACUAGAUUCAAGAACAGCUUACAAACAAGGAAUGUGUAUAGUUUCAAAUUUUGAGAAUGAAGGAACCCAUGUUUGGCAAAACAAUUACUUUGUGAAAAGACUGCAAAGUUUUAUUUGUAUGUAAUCAUUUUAAAUCUCGUUGAGUUUUUUACACAAAGGGUUAUCAACUGAAAAAUGUGAUGUAGUUAAAGUAAUAGCACCAGAGAAUCUAUAAUAAUGAAUAUAUAAUAAUGAAUAUAAUAAUGAAUAUAUAAUAAAAAUAUUACUUUUUUUCAAAUACUCACCACCAUUUACUA
This is a long non-coding RNA of Parasteatoda tepidariorum (common house spider), 838 nucleotides long. RefSeq lists it as uncharacterized. The record is from RefSeq and is a predicted model, not a curated record. NCBI's taxonomy places the organism in Eukaryota, Metazoa, Arthropoda, Arachnida, Araneae, Theridiidae.